GAAAAGUUAGUUUAAAUUAAAACAUUAAUUUGUCAAGUUAAAAAUAUUUUUAAUACUUUUUU
This 62-nucleotide transfer RNA is filed under the name Coleoptera sp. 1 KM-2017. Its description in RNAcentral is "tRNA-Asp". The record is from RNAcentral. Lineage: Eukaryota; Metazoa; Arthropoda; Insecta; Coleoptera.